CUUAGUUCGUGGAGUGAUCUGUCUGCUUAAUUGCGUUUCAAAAUUUAACUUGAGGACCGGGUUUUGGUUUGGCUAGUGGUUCUACGAUGACUGUGAACUGUCAUGUCUUCGGAUGUGCGACUAUUGGUCUAGGAUCACAUGACUUGCCCCUGGGACUCUUUUGAACGCAACGGACGUGAUUGCAACCCCUUGUUGAGAUUAGAGAUAGUCUCGAUAUUCACUGGACAAACUGGCUGCUUUAUGCAGUCUUGUUGAAUGGUGGAUAAACUCGGGGGACUGCUGACUAUAACCAUUUCUCAAAACAGAGGAAGGUUGCGGCAAUAACAGGUCUGUGAUGCCCUCAGAUGUCCCGGGCUGCACACGUGCUACAAUGAGUGGCGCAAUGUGCUAAUGUUUAAGGGAUAAGAGUGUGGUCAGUAGAACGUCGGGAUUUCCCCUGACGUCUCCCCCGCACGAUUAUCAGCCUUCCCUUAACAGGGCGGGCAACCUUUUCAAAAUACUGGUUUGAUGUUAAAGUAUUGAGUCGUUUUUUUUGGAUGGUGGUU
Molecule: ribosomal RNA, 545 nt
Filed under: Globigerinoides ruber albus
Lineage: Eukaryota; Foraminifera; Rotaliida; Globigerinidae
Description: SSU rRNA
Rfam family: Eukaryotic small subunit ribosomal RNA
Source: RNAcentral